GAUAACAGCUCACAGGAUGAGAGUCCUCCUCAUAUUACUGGGAUUAAUUUUUCACUUUCUCGGUCACGGAGGGUGCGUGCUGAUCUCGCAGUUUCCCGGACGGCUGACGACCGAGCGAGGGUCGCUCGCCACUCUCACGUGUCAUCAGAACGACACAGACAAUAGCUAUAUGUACUGGUACCGAUACGACGCCGGGAGCGGUCUCCGCCUGAUGGUGGUGAGCGCGUCCGGGAGCCAGCCCACCUACGAGCCGGAGUUCCAGACGGGCUUUAAAGCGGAGCGGCCUGACAGGAAGACGUGUCUGCUGAAGAUAGAGACCGCGCAGCCGACAGACACGGCGCUGUACUACUGCGCUACUAGUGUGGGACACAGUGACACGCUCCCGUCACUCGCUGUGACAAGAACCCCUCUCCCGCGCUCGCUGCUCGCCUCCUGGACUGAGGUCGACGUAAUGUUUGAGGCGUAG
Molecule: non-coding RNA, 466 nt
Organism: Mobula hypostoma (lesser devil ray)
Lineage: Eukaryota; Metazoa; Chordata; Chondrichthyes; Myliobatiformes; Myliobatidae
Source: the annotation of a RefSeq genome assembly